This 253-nucleotide ribosomal RNA is filed under the name uncultured bacterium. RNAcentral's name for it is "partial 16S ribosomal RNA". It matches the Rfam family "Bacterial small subunit ribosomal RNA", at positions 524 to 776 of the family's 1533-position model. The record is from RNAcentral.
UACGUAGGGGGCAAGCGUUGUCCGGAAUCAUUGGGCGUAAGGCGCGUGUAGGCGGCCAGGUAAGUCCGUUCUGAAAGCCCGGGGCUCAACCCCGGGAGGCGGAUGGAUACUGCUUGGCUCGAGUCCGGAAGAGGCGAGUGGAAUUCCCGGUGUAGCGGUGAAAUGCGCAGAUAUCGGGAGGAACACCAAUGGCGAAGGCAGCUCGCUGGGACGGUACUGACGCUGAGACGCGAAAGCGUGGGGAGCAAACAGG